Anastrepha obliqua is the source of this 1108-nucleotide long non-coding RNA. RefSeq lists it as uncharacterized. Lineage: Eukaryota; Metazoa; Arthropoda; Insecta; Diptera; Tephritidae. The transcript has 3 exons. The record is from RefSeq and is a predicted model, not a curated record.
AGUUUGGGUGUUGCGGUGAGCGAACCAUAUUACAAGUCAAACUGUCAAAUAUAAAAUUUUGAUCUCGUUGGAUACCGCAUAAGUUGACAAUUGCCCAAAAAAGGACUCAAAGCACGUACAUGACAUCGUAACAGCUGACGCAUCUUGGAUCUAUGCAUAUGAGCCGAAAACAAAACAGCAAUCGACAGUAUGGGUGUUUCAAAACGAACUCUUUCCCUUUCUCCCUUCGGAAAAUCUCGCAUAUCGCGCCUGUAUCACUAAAAAACUUAAAAAAGUCAAGCCUGAGUCUAUCAAAAAGACAAUGCGAAUUCUCACGUAUCAGCUCACAAGAGUUUUUGAGCACUCAAAAGAUCAUCCGUAUUGUAGCCCUGAUUUGGAACCUAAUGAUUUCUUUUGUUUCCGAACAUCAAAAAUAAAAUGCGAAGUCUAUGUUUUUCAACGCUUAAAGAAGCUGUUAAGACCUUUAAACAGCUCGUUUUGGAGGUAUCCACUUCUGAGUGGCAAAACUGCUUUGAAAAUUAGUUCAAGCGAAUGCAGAAGUAUAUUGACUUCCAAGGAGAAUAUUUUGAAAAAAAUUGAAGAUCAGUUUUCUGUGUUUUCACAAAAAACGCAAAAAAUGAAAUAUAAAUAUAAACUUCCGUAUACUAACUACAAAGGCUAAUUGCCCUGCCAACAUAUCUCAACCCACUAUAGUAAUAAAAAGUGCUGCCGUAUAUUCCACAUACAUAGCAGGCCCGAUACCAACAAUCACCGGCAUGGAUCAUCACUGGUUGUGGUGUGCCCAAGACAUAUAACUGCUCCAUGCCAAUAAAAAAAAGUUUUAUAAAAGUUUCGCGAUGAAGUUUUAUAUCCUAUUGUUUGCAAGUCCAAGUUUGAAAGAGCGUGAGAUCGCGUUGAGUGUUGACAAUUUAAUUUGCUGGCGGUUUGUGCAUUUUCUUGAUAUAGCGAAUGCUCGACACAUGUUAGUAAGCACCCAACACCAAUCAUGAAACAGAAAAAAAAGUAGUUUCAUCUUUUCAUUAAUCAUAUGGAAACAUUAAGCACAUCUUUGUCACAUUGGAAUUUUCACGAAGAUAGAUUUUUUAUGAAAUAGAUUUUUAGAACUUUA